GAAACCUAAUACCACACGCUUCUCCUCUGAUGCCCUCUCUUUCCCUCUCUUCUCCUCUGUGGCUACGUCUGUGCCAACCACUUGCGGCGCUUCCAAACUCUUCUCUCUUGCUUUCCUCCGUCCGAUCAGAGGGUUUCGUCUUAGUCCGGACCUUCAAUCAACCAUAGGUGGAUAAAAGGGGAACUUUGUUAUAGUAUUUGUUGUUUUAUCCAACCGAAAUGCUCGAAGCUGUUUACAGAAACAGCUCAAUCGAGUGGAAGCCAUCCCCUGUUGUAGCUCUAGCCACUAGCGCUGACGACUCCCAGGUCGCUGCCGCCCGUGAGGAUGGCUCACUCGAGAUUUGGCUUGUGUCUCCUGGCUCCGUUGGUUGGCACUGUCAGCUGACUAUACAAGGAGACAGUAAUUCGAGAGUUUCAUCACUGGUUUGGUGUCGAGUUGGCUCAAAAGGAAUGCCAUGUGGCAGGUUGUUCUCAUCAAGUAUUGACGGUUCAGUUUCAGAGUGGGAUCUUUUUCAUUUGAAGCAGAAGACUGUCCUAGAGUCGAUUGCAGUCUCAAUUUGGCAGAUGGCAGUGGAGCCUUCUAGUAAUCCGCCAAUUGAAAAAGAUCUUGAUUCCAAGAACCUUGGAAAUGGAUAUUUAAAUGAUAAACAGAAUAACAUUGAUGAUUGUCAAUCCAGUGAAAGUGAAGAUGAUUCAGACUCGGAUGAACUUCAUGAGCAAUCUGUUGUUGAGAAUCCACGUAUAGCGAUUGCUUGUGAUGAUGGCUGCGUGCGGAUAUACACUAUUCCCGACUCAAAUGAGUUAAUAUAUAACAAAACGUUGCCAAGGGUCAGUGGGCGAGUUUUAAGUGUGACGUGGAGUUCUGAUGCAAGUAAGAUGUAUUCAGGGAGUAGUGAUGGAUUUAUAAGGUGCUGGGAUGCUAAAGUGGGUCAUGAGAUAUACAGGAUUACAGUUGGGCUUGGUGGUUUGGGUAGUGGACCUGAACUUUGUGUAUGGUAUUUACUUGCCCUGAGAUGUGGGACGCUUGUUAGUGCAGACAGUACUGGUAGUGUGCAGUUUUGGGACUCUCAGCAUGGGACACUGUUGCAGGCACAUUCUUCUCACAAGGGUGAUGUGAAUGCUCUGGCAGCUGCACCUAGUCAUAAUAGGGUGUUCUCAGCUGGAUCUGAUGGUCAGGUUAUUCUUUAUAAGCUUUCUAGUGAGAUGGUUGGAUCUAGUGAAGAUGUGUCUGCUAAAGUGAUGAAGAAAUGGGUAUAUGUGGGUUAUGUAAGAGCUCACACUCAUGAUGUUAGGGCACUGACAGUGGCAGUACCAAUAAGUCGGGAAGAUCCAUUGCCUGAUGAAAAGGUAAAAAGAAUUCGUAGUAGAAAGAGGCCUGUUGAUUUUAGUUAUCGUAAGUGGGCCCAUCUGGGAGUUCCCAUGCUUAUCUCUGCUGGUGAUGACACGAAGCUCUUUGCCUAUUCUGCCAAGGAAUUCACUAAGUUCUCUCCACAUGAUAUCUGCCCUGCACCACAGAGAGUGCCUAUUCAGUUAGUUCUUAAUACUGUAUUCAACCGGAAUUCUUUGCUUCUAGUUCAAGGAUCUUAUUGGCUAGAUAUUCUCUGUGUUCGUGUGAAAAGUGGAUUCAUGCCAGAUAGUGGUCCUGGCCCUUCUAGAGGUCAUGCAGAUACAGAUUUGCUAGCUCGAAUUAAAACUAAAGCAUCUCGGAAGAUCAUAUGCAGCAGCAUUUCUAAUACGGGAACACUGUUUGCAUAUUCAGACCAUGUUAAACCCAAUCUUUUUGAAUUGAAGAAACAUAGUGGCAAAACUGCAUGGACUGUUAACAAAAAGCAACUUCCUCAGAAAUUACCAUAUGCGCAUUCCAUGGUAUUUAGUUCUGAUUCUUCAAGGUUGAUGAUAGCGGGGCAUGAUAGAAGAAUAUAUGUUGUGGAUGUGGGCAGCUCAGAACUAAUGCAUACCUUCACCCCUCAGCGUGAAGAAUGUGAUGAGGAAUUACCACCCACUGAGCCUCCUAUAACUAAAUUGUUCACCAGUGGUGAUGGGCAGUGGUUAGCUGCUGUCAAUUGCUUUGGAGAUGUAUAUAUAUUUAAUCUGGAGACACAAAGGCAACAUUGGUUUAUGUCAAGAUUGGAUGGUGCCUCUGUUACAGCCGGCGGUUUUCCUCCUCAAAAUAACAAUGUGCUUGUAAUCACCACCUCUUCAAACCAGGUUUAUGCAUUUGAUGUGGAGGCAAAACAAUUGGGAGAAUGGUCCAUGCGGCAUACAUUUGUUCUGCCCAAGAGAUACCAAGAAUUUCCUGGGGAGGUUAUAGGGCUUUCAUUCUUACCUUUAUCAAGUCCACCUUCUGUCAUCAUUUAUAGUGCCAGGGCAAUGUGCUUGAUUAACUUUGGGAUUCCAGUGGAUCGAGAGGAGGACAAUAAAUUGGUAAACAAUCAGCAUUCUCCGUUGAAGAAGUUACAAAAUGCUCUUAUUAAUGGGAGAUUGAAACGUAGGUUGAAAGAGUAUCAAACAGAGGCUAAACAUCAAAAAAAUUUUGAAUUUCUUGCUUUCAGAGAUCCUGUUUUGUUUAUUGGAAACCUUUCUGAAAAUUCUAUUGUGAUCAUAGACAAACCAUGGAUGGAUGUGGUUAAAACUUUCGAUGCCCCUCCUGUACACAGACAUAUAUAUGGGACAUAACUGCUAUGUGGAAGGUAGUUUACAGCCUCAGAUGGGAGAAUGCAGAAGUGGCAAUUGAUCCCAAAAUUUUGAUAUUAUAUUAAAGUUUUUCCAUACUGGAUGUGAUUGGGGGAAUUUUGGGGGUGAGGGGAUCCAAGGCAUGUUGUCAAUUGUAUUCCUAAAAUAAUUUGUGACCUGUUAAAGUAGCGUUUUCGUCUUUUACCAUAUUUUUCUUUUAACCAUUUUCAUCUUCAUGUGUUUGAUCUGUAAGUGCAUAAAUUUAGUCAAGCAGUAAAAUCUUUGUUCUUCUAUCAGUUUUUUUUCCACCAUUUAAUUUUAUUUGUUAUCACAAUAUUUAUAGAAAGUCUAUGGAGGCAACACUGCUGAAGAUCUUUUCCUGAAAUGAAAUGUUGUCUAAUGUCUGUCAGAACUACAUGAGUGGUUGGUUGGUCAAUGUUUUAAAUU
RNAcentral lists this unclassified non-coding RNA (3119 nucleotides) under Hevea brasiliensis (rubber tree). Lineage: Eukaryota; Viridiplantae; Streptophyta; Magnoliopsida; Malpighiales; Euphorbiaceae. The record is from RNAcentral.